UUGGACAUUCAUAGUUACUUGGGACAACAGUUUUAGCAGGGCUCUCUUUCUCCUUUCCUGAUCUCUCUGUUAAGCUGCCUGGCUCAUUUGAUAUUACAUCCAAAUUAUCAGCUGAUUGCUCUAUUGUUUUGGACAAUGCCCUGGGGCAUACCAAAAUGUGUCUGGAAUUGGUGAGUUCUUGGUCUUACUGACUUUAAGAAUGAAGUUGCGGACUUCUGCGGUGAUCCACCCUACCACAUAUUGUCUCCUAAUGGCCGUCCAGUUUAUCCUAGAGCCCUUGUAUGACACAGGCCUAUUGAAGCAUAGGAGAUGCCAAUAUUUUACCUCUUGGGUACUUUCUGUGUAGAAGAUUCAUAACAAGAACAAUACUUAUUCUGUAAUUCUUUAUAUAAAGCUAAAAGAAAAUGCAUUCUUCCAACAACUAAUGAGCUUGGAAGAGAACUCCAAACCCCAGAAGAGGCCUGUCACAUUGGCUAACACCUUGAUUUCCACCCACUGAGACCUUGAGCAGAGACUUCAGUUACACCCCACCCAGACUUCUGACCUGCAAAACUUAAGAAGAAAGCCCAAAGACAAAACCAGAGGCAACUGGCUGCUGCAUCACCCACCUAGUGGCAGUAGUGUGAGCUAUGGACAAAAGAUCUAAGUCUCCAGGACAAAGAGUUGUGCAGCUGCUCAUUUUCCUGUUGACUUCUGUCUAAGACUUGGAGAUGUUUGUAAGAUUGGGACCUACCUACAGAGGUAUCACACUCCUCUUGGUCUAACUCACUCUUGAACUGACAUUCGUGGUGA
RNAcentral lists this non-coding RNA (792 nucleotides) under Pan troglodytes (chimpanzee). The record is from RNAcentral. Lineage: Eukaryota; Metazoa; Chordata; Mammalia; Primates; Hominidae.